RNAcentral lists this ribosomal RNA (49 nucleotides) under Cannabis sativa subsp. indica. RNAcentral's name for it is "partial 18S ribosomal RNA". The stretch from base 1 to 42 matches the Rfam family "Eukaryotic small subunit ribosomal RNA", at positions 1790 to 1831 of the family's 1831-position model. The record is from RNAcentral. Lineage: Eukaryota; Viridiplantae; Streptophyta; Magnoliopsida; Rosales; Cannabaceae.
CGUAACAAGGUUUCCGUAGGUGAACCUGCGGAAGGAUCAUUGUCGAAAC